Non-coding RNA from Peromyscus maniculatus bairdii (prairie deer mouse), 1099 nucleotides. The record is from RefSeq and is a predicted model, not a curated record. NCBI's taxonomy places the organism in Eukaryota, Metazoa, Chordata, Mammalia, Rodentia, Cricetidae.
GACCGAAUUCUCUCCGGGGCGGUUGCAUGGAAUAAAGAACGGCUGGGUCCGGCUUUUGUUCUCCCCGCCCCUUGCCGUUUCAGCAGCGGGGACCGGGGAUAGGUGUGGGGCGGUUCCAGGGAGGGGACUGCAAAGUCGAGCGGGGCGGAUGCGACUUUUUCCACGCGCGCCUCGGCCGGUGCGCGGCGGGGCAAAGGCUGCGCGGUGCUUACCCGGGAGGCGCGCGGCUUCGCGGCCCGCGGGCCUGCUUGCUCGGCCUCGCUGUCCCCACUCCGCUUUUCUCGUUUUCUCUUUCCAGCGCCCUUAUGGGCGGUUUUGGCUUUCUUGCCGGUAUGGUGGACUGAGCCAAAUGUCACCACCCUCUGCCUCCCAUCUCCGCACAGGAGAUCAGGUUUAGGAACUAGUCUUUGCAGCUGUGCCCGGUUGAAUGCGAUUGUCUUUUUCCUACGGAGAAGUUGGGUUGGCAGCACAGACUCGUGGGAGAAGGUGUCAGAUCCCCCUGGAACUGGAGUUACAGGCAGCUGUGAGCUGUCCAAAAGAUCCUUACCUACGUACCCACUAUUACCAGUCCACCUUACCAGGCGUCACAGAUGACGGAUGACGGAUGAGCACCACCCCACACCAUCUUUAUCAUGUGUGUCCUAAGCUGAAAAGGCACUUCUUUGUAGAUGGAACGUGUGUCUUCAUGAGCAAGUACAAGAAUGUAGCCUACGUCAAAGACUGAGUUCAAAUUCCAGGUCUAACAUAUACAGUUUCUGUGUGGCUUAGGAAAGAGUCUUUGGACCUUAGUCCUUCAUCUGGAAAAUUAGUAUACUUACCUCAAAGAGGAGGAGGACCAAUAAAAAUUGAGUGGGCAAAACAUCUGCAUAUAGCCUGCUGAAGAAAUGGAUGUUCAGACUGUAGGGAGCCCUACUUUGGGCAGACUAUGGGUUUCCUAAGCUGGGAUGUAAACUUCAAAUUAUUAACACGAAGGAUGGCUUCACUUGUGUUAGUUUCCUAGCGGCCAUACCAUCACACCUACUUUACUGAGCUGAGCUAGCAAGCACCGAGGACAGAAUUUUAUGAAAAUAUGCUCCCGCAGGGUGGCGGUGGCACACGC